Long non-coding RNA from Chelonus insularis, 584 nucleotides. RefSeq lists it as uncharacterized. The transcript has 2 exons. Lineage: Eukaryota; Metazoa; Arthropoda; Insecta; Hymenoptera; Braconidae. The record is from RefSeq and is a predicted model, not a curated record.
CAUGAACUGUUGUUUUAUGUCGCAUAAGAGUAUAGUGCAAAAAGCUGGUGAUUCAUAAAGCAUUCUCUUUAUAAGCAUUGAAGAUAUUGGUGAUCAUAAAAAUCAAUGGUAAUUUUUUUUGUCUCUUGGAAAGUACAAUUUUUGAAUUGAUUUUAAAUAACCGGGUUAAUUAAAAGGAUCAAUUGUUUUGAAGAGUGAAACUGAUAGUUUCAUUAUGACUACUUCACCUGAAUAUCGUUAUCUAAAGUUGAUGGAUGAUGAACCUAAUUAUAGCUUCAUCUGCUCUGAUUUGAAUGAAGUAGAAUUUAGAGCAAUUUUGCAAGGUGGUUUUACCUCUACCUAUUCUAGAAAUGAGUUUCGAGGAAAUGUCGUCAACGCAGUCAACUGUCUGGCCAAGUUGGGCUACCGAGUGAUAAGUACACAUCUCAAGGGCGAAUCAAUGAUUUAUUUGUUGGAAAAAUCCAUUGAACAUUCCUAAGUCUAUGAAAAGCUUGAAUUAUUGUUUGAUACUAAUUUUUCUACAUUUUAUAAAAGAAAUAAAAAAAAAUAUCAAUGAAUUAAUUUUGAUAAAGCAAAAAUCUAAA